GACGAACGCUGGCGGCGUGCUUAACACAUGCAAGUCGAACGGAAAGGCCCUGCUUGCAGGGUGCUCGAGUGGCGAACGGGUGAGUAACACGUGGGUGAUCUGCCCCUUACUUUGGGAUAAGCCUGGGAAACUGGGUCUAAUACUGGAUAGGACCAUGCUGUAGGUGGUGUGGUGGAAAGAUUAGUUUCGGUAAGGGAUGAGCUCGCGGCCUAUCAGCUUGUUGGUGGGGUAAUGGCCUACCAAGGCGUCGACGGGUAGCCGACCUGAGAGGGUGGACGGCCACAUUGGGACUGAGAUACGGCCCAGACUCCUACGGGAGGCAGCAGUGGGGAAUAUUGCACAAUGGGCGCAAGCCUGAUGCAGCGACGCCGCGUGGGGGAUGACGGCCUUCGGGUUGUAAACUCCUUUCAGCCAUGACGAAGCCCUUGUGGUGACGGUAGUGGUAGAAGAAGCACCGGCUAACUACGUG
This 469-nucleotide ribosomal RNA is filed under the name uncultured bacterium. RNAcentral's name for it is "partial 16S ribosomal RNA". It matches the Rfam family "Bacterial small subunit ribosomal RNA", at positions 28 to 507 of the family's 1533-position model. The record is from RNAcentral.